This is a long non-coding RNA of Chinchilla lanigera (long-tailed chinchilla), 1349 nucleotides long. RefSeq lists it as uncharacterized. The record is from RefSeq and is a predicted model, not a curated record. NCBI's taxonomy places the organism in Eukaryota, Metazoa, Chordata, Mammalia, Rodentia, Chinchillidae. The transcript has 4 exons.
CGGAAGGAUCUGUUACUUCCUGCGAUUCUGGCUGUGCCCUGCGCGGCCGGAAGGGCAGCCCGGCAGCUGCUCCCAGGGUGGGUGGGGGCGGCUCCCUCUGUCACCCAUGCCGGCUUUUAUUUCCUUCUCUUUUAGCAUGUAAAGAGAGUGUAGCAGGAUACAGCACAACAUUCCCUCUCCGGCUCUCUGAGUAUGGUGUGAGGUACACCCUGAGCACCGUGUGGCCACCCCGUCCCCGGGACCUCUCCUCGGCACACACCGAAACUCUGUUCGGUUAAUCGCGAGAAAAGUAACUGAGACUUUUGCCAGCGGAGACAUUCGCCACCGGCCCUUUUGUGUCGGCUUGUGUACAGGACGGUUCGACAGGAGAACGGCGUCCGUUUAACUGUUCAUUUGGACGGAGCCUCCGCGGCUGAGGAUAACGCACUUUAAUCCUGACGUGCCCAACGUACAGAAAAGCUGAAGAAUGUUCCAGACAGCAGACACACAUAUGUCCAUCACUGAGACUGACAACUGUUAAUGCCCGGGACCCUUCCUACAUCGGGAAAUGACUCUGCUUUCUUCUUCUGCGACAGCAGUGUAUUUACCCUCUGCGUAUGAGUGAGAACAUGAGGCCUUCGUCUUCCUGUGCCUGGCUUACUUCAUUUAACAUAGCCCCCUUCAGGCUCAGCCAUGCUACCGUGAGGGACAGGAUUUCUCUCCGUUUUAAGGCUGAAUCGUUGUCUAUUGUGUAUAUACCAUACUCCUUGUUCAUCUGUGAACACCCGAAGGGAUUCCUCUGGGAUUCUGAAAGGUGUCCAUCGCAGCAUGCUUGUAACAGUGAAAAUCUGGGGACAAUGGGAUAGUUAGACAGAGAAGGUGUUUCUGUGUCGAGGAAUCCUCCAAGGCAAUUAAAGAGAAACACCCGGGGGACAGGAGGUGCUUGAAGUGAAAAAAAGUAAGCCGAGGAAUGACACACAGAGGGACCUGUCGCGUAUGUAAAGGGAAAAGGAGCUGCACACUCUUGCAUGUGCAUGUGUGUGUUCCAGGCAGGAGGCCUGUGCUCUGCCCUCUGCUGCAUCAAGACCUGCUGCUGCUUUGAUUGCUUCACCAGCUGAGAAGUAAGACCCAGAGAGAUGCAGACCUAAUGGAACAAGCACCGUGCCCCCGGCGCAGCUCGCCAUGGCGGUGGCCGUGCUAGUUGUCUCUUCCUUCUAAGCAGUAGCUCCUCGUUUGACAGCUCCCGCCUUCAUUCAGCGCCUGCCCCUGCGCAGCUAUGCGUUUCCUACCGUGGAUGCCUGGAACCUCCAGGGUUCCUCGCACUGGACUUUUCUUUUUCCCACUUAUUUUAAUAAAAAUAGUCUGAAGAA